CGACGCCGCGUGGGGAUGAAGCUUUUCGGAGUGUAAACCCCUUUCGACCCGGACGAAAAUCUCGCAAGAGGAUUGACGGUACGGGUAUAAGAAGCCCGGCUAACUACGUGC
Molecule: ribosomal RNA, 111 nt
Filed under: uncultured bacterium
Lineage: Bacteria
Description: partial 16S ribosomal RNA
Rfam family: Bacterial small subunit ribosomal RNA
Source: RNAcentral